AUGGCUGCAGACUUUGAUGCAUUAAUUUUCUUGCUGCAGCACUCACCUAAUAUACAGAAACUCUUUCUCCAACUUAAAAUUAACUUCAAUGCCAGAAAGGCAUCAGAAACAGGUAUCAAACUACAGAGAAGAUCAUUUACUUGCAAAGAUCUUCGAAUGGUGAAGAUCACAUGCUCAAAGGAUGAUGGGAGAGUCCAUAAGCUGGCAAAUUUGUUUAUGGCAAAUGGUAUGCCAGUCAAGAAAAUUUAUGUCCACCACAGCGGGAGUGCUUAUCUCCGCAGCCAGAAGCAGACGAAGGAGUUCUGGGGGGUGUAA
Molecule: ribosomal RNA, 315 nt
Filed under: Triticum aestivum (bread wheat)
Lineage: Eukaryota; Viridiplantae; Streptophyta; Magnoliopsida; Poales; Poaceae
Description: partial small subunit ribosomal RNA
Source: RNAcentral